ACAAAGGCUAGGAGGAUGGUCCAUUACUUCAAUCCAUACUUCAUGACACUUAGGACAAACUUAUGCAUCACCUCAAAGUAUCUUAAAUGAUCCACGAUUAAUUACGAGGUAGAUUUGAAAUGAUAAAAUUUCAUCAAGCACCAAUCCACAAAUCAUGAACAAGAUGGACACAAGUUAUUACAUUAAUCAAAAGGGGAAAAGAAAGAGAUGAAGAAAAAGGGGACAAGAGAAGCCACACCCAAAUUGGACCAAAGGUUUGAUCAAGUCAUGAUUAAGAUCAC
Molecule: long non-coding RNA, 281 nt
Filed under: Lathyrus oleraceus (garden pea)
Lineage: Eukaryota; Viridiplantae; Streptophyta; Magnoliopsida; Fabales; Fabaceae
Description: Pisum sativum (pea) long non-coding RNA (PSAT_LNC014246)
Source: RNAcentral